AGCUCCAGUAGCGUAUAUUAAAGUUGUUGCAGUUAAAAAGCUCGUAGUUGGAUUUCUGAUGUGACGUACCUGGUCCUUUCCAAUAGGAUUGAGUACUGGCGUAUGUCCAUCAUCCUUCUAGUCAACCAUAUGCCCUUUAUUGGUGUGUAUGGCGAACUAGAUCUUUUACUUUGAAUAAAUUAGAGUGUUUAAAGCAGGCUUGCGUUUGAAUAUAUUAGCAUGGAAUAAUAACAUAGGACUUUGGUCUUAGUUGUUGGUUUCUUGGCUGAAGUAAUGAUUGAUAGGGAUAGUUGGGGGUGCUAGUAUUGAAUGGCCAGAGGUGAAAUUCAUGGAUUCAUUUAAGACUAACUUAUGCGAAAGCAUUCACCAAGGAUGUCUUCUUUA
RNAcentral lists this ribosomal RNA (384 nucleotides) under Cercomonas sp. RNAcentral's name for it is "partial small subunit ribosomal RNA". It matches the Rfam family "Eukaryotic small subunit ribosomal RNA", at positions 587 to 975 of the family's 1831-position model. The record is from RNAcentral. Lineage: Eukaryota; Cercozoa; Cercomonadida; Cercomonadidae.